Molecule: transfer RNA, 90 nt
Filed under: Candidatus Nitronauta litoralis
Lineage: Bacteria; Pseudomonadati; Nitrospinota; Nitrospinia; Nitrospinales; Nitrospinaceae
Description: tRNA-Ser
Rfam family: tRNA
About the family: Transfer RNA (tRNA) molecules are approximately 80 nucleotides in length. Their secondary structure includes four short double-helical elements and three loops (D, anti-codon, and T loops).
Source: RNAcentral
GGAGGGAUGGCCGAGUGGUUGAAGGCGACGGUCUUGAAAACCGUUGAGCGUGAGAGCGUUCCGUGGGUUCGAAUCCCACUCCCUCCUCCA